Molecule: non-coding RNA, 4867 nt
Organism: Chlorocebus sabaeus (green monkey)
Lineage: Eukaryota; Metazoa; Chordata; Mammalia; Primates; Cercopithecidae
Source: RefSeq, a predicted model, not a curated record
GAGGUGGCCAUGAGCCGAGAUCACGCCAUUGCACUCUGUACUCCAGCCUGGGCAACAGAGUGAAAUUCCAUCUCAAAAAAAAAAAAGAGAGAGUUGGAAAACUGUUGGAGAAGCCAGAACCUGUUGGCAGAGUUUGCAGGGGUGCUACGGAGAGGGAGGUGCCCACCCCAGAGGUGAAGACGGGAUGGGUGGGGUUUUCAGCUCCACUGGACACCAAACAGAAGCUGUAAUGACAAGGCUAGUGCCUAUGUUGAGGGCUAGGCCUUUCUGGGCCCUUCAUAAACAUUGGCAAACAAAGCUUAGGUUCUCGACUUGUCUGGGCCAAGUUCUAAUUCCUUCCAGGAGCGUGGACACGUUGCUUACCUCUGAGCUGUUUCUUCUCCAGGCAGUGGUGAAGCUGGAGCCUGCUGCAUGGGAGGGUUCUGUGGAGUGAGAUGAGAUGUUUUACGUCAUGCUCUUUUCACACCUUCUUGGCACCCAGAAAGAGCUCAGCAAAUACUAGCUGCUACCAGCCACCCUGACUGUGGCUAUCAGCCAGCAUUGUUCUUCCCAGGCCCCGCCCUAUCCUCCACCUGGCAUAGGGUUUCUCAGGGCAUAGGAAACUUUCUGGGCCAGAUUGGCCAUGGGAGGCUUUCCUGGGGACCAGAGAGUCUGCAGGGAGGGCAAGUCAAGAGCAGGUGAGAGGGAGGGAAGGAUGAGCAGGACCCUUGACUUAAUUCUUGGCUGCAGUGUGUAUUGGCCUGCCUGGUGACCCUCGUUGCUCCUGGUCCCACUGCCGAACCUCUGGAGUCUGCCACAUCUCUGCAUAGACAGGGCCACCGACAGGCAGUGGCAGCCAGUUCAGUGGCACUCAGCCAGGUCUCCAGGGGUGUGCGCUUUGCUCUGGGGGCAGGGUAGUGGGGGCUGAGGCCACUGGCUGCCUUCAGGGCCCCCCGCCCCCACCAGCCAGCAGCUGACAGCUCCACCUUGGUCUUCACUUGGGCCGUCUUCCUUCUACACUUUCUCAGCUGCUGCGUGGGCAUCUUUGGCAACUUUUCCUUGUCCCACCAGUCAAGGCCCUGCUGAUUUGUUGAUGAUCAAACUGCAGUUCUUGUACCUGGGGAAGGUUUCCAGCAUCUCCAUGGAGCCGUGGUCUCUGAUUGCUGGAGCAUGUCGUGGUCGGUUCAGGCUGCUGUAACAAAGCACUGUCUGCUGGGAGGCCCACACCCAGGCCUUUACCUCUCACAGUUCUGGAGGCUGGAGAUCCAGGGCCAGGGUGCCAGCAGGGUCAGGUUCUGGUGAGGGCAGUAAGAAGCACGGCUGCCAUCCCCCUGUAUCUUCACAUGGCCUUCCUGGGAGUGGACAUGGAGAGAGAAAAGGACCUGUCUUUCUUCUUCUUAUGGGGACACUCACCCCAUCCUGUGGGUUCGUCUAUACCUACUCACCUUGCAAAGGCCCCACCUCCAGAUACCAGCCCAUUGGAGUUAGGGCCUCAGCAUGAAUUCUGAGGGGGACAGAAACUUUCAGUCUUAAUAGUGUGCUUCUUCCAGACUGGCAUUCCUGGGAAGGCCCUGGAUAGGCUGUGCCGGGGGUGGGGGGUGAUGUUGCACUGGCGACAGCUAGAGGAGGUGGCUGGCCUGAGGGGAGACCCCUGAGCAAGGAGGUGCCCCUUCUCAUGCGCACCAGCCUGACACGACCCCCUCCUCGGAAGAUGGAAGGCACAUAAUGAUGUGACCUCACAGGGCCUCAGUUUCCUUGUGUGUAGAAAUGAGGGUUAUGGUGCCUGCCUCGUAGUGUCCUGGUGAGGAGUGAGUGGUAUGAUUCACGGGAAGCUGUGACUGUCACAUUCCCACCUGCAGAGGACAUGGUGAAGGGUGACAGCCCCGUGUGAGACCCUGCAGGUCACAGUUUCAUUUAAUCCUGAGAACAUACCACCAGACAGGUCUUUCUCACUCCACCAUGUUUAAGGAAACAGAGGCUCCAAGAAACGGAGGAGCGUAGCCAGCGUCAUCGUCACGGAGAAGGGUGGGCUCGUGACAGUGAAGAUGCAGGCUGUCCUGGCCGCCCUUGCUUUCUGGGGGGCUCCUGUGGGGAUGAUGAUUUUAAUUGUUCAAGGAGACAGGUGGUGUUUCUUCCAGCUGGUCUUUCCCACCUGGGAUGUUGGGGGGCUCCCCAAGGGGAGUGUUGCCCUGCCAGCUGGGGCCUGCUGUCGCACUGCCCUGCCUUGCCCCGCAGCACACACGGGGACCCACGCCCACACAGGGUUACUUGCACCAGGACACACACAGGCCUGACACGCACAGGGACUUGCCCUUGCCUGGAAAUACACUCACAUAGAAACAUGGAGACACACAAAGUGAGACACAUGGGCACACACCUACCCAGGCCACAGGCCUGUGUGGGGUUCCAUGCACAAGGACAUGCUCAGGCGCUCACACUCACAUGAGAAUGAACACACCUGGAGACAUGAAGAUGCACAAAGGGACACACAGAGACGCAGACACAGAACACAUGGGAUCUUCCCCUGUGCCCUUCUCACACACAGGCUCCCACAGUGCCAGCAAGCCAGCUCUCCAAAGUGUGGUGCCGUCCCUGUCCUGGGCUGUUGAGGCCCUGGCCCUCUCUGUCCCGCAGCUCCAGCUGGGAGUGUUUGCCCUAGGUGAGAUGCUGAGCAUUGGGGACAGUGGUUUCUAGCCACGUGGCCUUAUGCCAGCUUUGGGAUGCAGUCAGGAUUGUGACCCCGGCCCACCCUUGCCGUGUGCCCUGGAGGAUGACUCGGGUGGGCUAUGUGGGAAGCCUGUGCUGAUUUCAAGGCCGACUGUCCUGUAUUCCAGGCCGGGGACCAAGCUGCUGAGCGCUUCUGAGAGGGACAUCUCCUCGGCAGGGAGUGACAUACGCCACACCACUUGGGCCUGCCAGCUAUGCGCUGGUGCUGUGUGGGCUGGGAGGGCAGUGGCCAGGUGACAGGGACUGCAGAGCAGGGCCUAAGAUGCUGUGACUUGCUGGGGUGCCUGUGGCUUUCGGGCUUCUCUCAGAUGAGAGUUGCACAGGUGGGUGGGGGUUUGGGGAGGCUGUGGCAGCAUCAGAAGAGUAGCCCAGAACCAGCUGAGUCCACUGUCCGAGCCUCCCAGGCCUGCAGCCCGCACCCCAGUGGGACCACAUCCUCCCCACAGUCAAGCCUGUGUCUUCUCAAUGUGGCAUGCUGGCAUGUGGGUGCUACAGGCGCCCAGUGUGACACUCACUGGCCUUGCUGAAGGCUGAGGGUGCCCCAGAGGUGAGUUGUGGGGAGCCUCUGCUGGAGAGGGAGCUGCAUUUCUGGCCCGCAGGCAGAGUGAGCCGGGUCUGCGGCUUCUGAGCUGAGCAUGGGGUGCCCUCUGCUGGUGAUGGCGAGAAGCUCAGUGCCUUUGUAUGGAGAAGCCUGCCAUCCAGACCCGCCACUGCCCCCAGAGGGAAGGCGCCUGAGACCCCUCCUCCUUGGCCAGGAGGCUGUUUGCUGUGUCCCUGCCAAGAGGGACCUCAGUGUCCUGGGACCCUACCCAGACCUGGUCCCCGCCGCAGAUGCAGCAGUUUGGGUUACCUGGCUUCAGCGCUCCAGCUCUACAUGAUGUUUCCUCCAGGAGCCAGCUGGCUGUCGUGGGCCAAGCUGCUUAUGAUGGUGACAUGAAGCCUCCACCCCGAGAGUGUCGAAGGCCUGGCCCAGGCUGUACUUGCCAGUGGGGAGCUCUGCUGCCUCCGGCCCCAGAAUCAGGGAAGUUCAGAGAGACAGAGGCUCCCGGAGAAGAACCUCAGGCGGCAGCUGACAGCAGGGCGAGGCCCCUGGUCUGACUCUAGGACCAGCCUGGCUCCUUGAGAGUACAGGGCCUCCUCACUUCUCGAGGUGGGGACAGGUGCACCGCCUGCGGGGAGACACUGGGUUUUCACACCCUCUGUUGUAUGUGCCUCCCCUGUGAGCCUUCCCUGAGACCCCGUGGGCUGGGUGCCCACUAAACACUUGGUCCCUCUCCCACGAGGUUGUGGGCUCCUGAGGGUAGAGGCCUGUGAAUGUCGCCCCUCGCUUUCUGCGCUGCCUGGAACAGAGGGUGUACCUCGCUGAAGCUCAGUUUUCUCCUUAAGGACCUGCCUAAGCCUGUUGUAGGGACUGGAUCGAAUAAUUCAGGCGAUGUGCUCGUGCACUGGUCCCAACAUGGGGAAGGCUUGCGCGACAGCCUCUCAUCCUAUCCCUGUACCGUCAGCACAGCGCCCAGCCCUGUGAGGUACCAGACAUGGGUGACUUACCUAGACAUGCCCAUUCAGCAGCCCCUUGAGCAAAAAGGACCUACCCUUGCCUUUCAGAUGCAGACCAAGAUGCAGAAAGGCACGUGGCUUAUUAGCCUAUGCCCCCUGUCCUGUGCUGCCCACCUACACUCUGCUUUAACCCUUCUCAGGCCGCAGGUAUCCAGGCAGGUGUCAGAGGUGCAGCCCCUGCACACCGGGGACCCUAUCCAUCCUGCUAGUUGGGAGGACUAGGAGUUCCAGAUGUGAGACCUCCAGUUCCUGCUGCCCUCAGAACCAGGCCCAACCCUUGCCGUGACCUUGAGGGCUGCCACUUUUCAGAGUGCACUGGGCCCAUCUCCACCCAUAGACCAUACUGCCCCAUCUUUACCUCGAGCACCAAUCUCUUCCCACCACAGGGGCCUGUGCCUGAGAUGGUCCCUCUACAGAAAUACCUGCUCCUGGCAUAGCUGGCUUGUUGCCCAUUCUGACUCUCUGCUGCCACCCUAGAGAGGCACGGCUUCCCUGUUUAAAGCAGGCUCUCCCAUCACCCAUCUUCACAGCAGACUGUUCGCUUGGCUCUGUGCCCUUCCAGACCCACAGCCGUUACCUCCCCAUCUCCCCCACCCUCCCACCC